GCUUCUGUGGCCUAAGUAGUUAGUGCAUCCGCCUCUGAUGCGGGAGGUCGCGUGUUCAAACCCUGGCCGAAUCA
Molecule: non-coding RNA, 74 nt
Organism: Potamilus streckersoni
Lineage: Eukaryota; Metazoa; Mollusca; Bivalvia; Unionida; Unionidae
Source: the annotation of a GenBank genome assembly